UCACAUUUUUUUUUUCCAUUCAGAUCAGGAGCUACAUCUUCAGAAGGGAUUGCAGUGUUUUUUUCUUUCGAAUAGACUGUUUUACUUGUAGAAGCCCCCGGUUAGAAAGAAGAAUAUUUGUUAGUUUGUCUUUCCAACUGUUCAGCAAUACUUAUGAUCUUCAUAAGUGUCAUUGGGGACUAUAAUAUCACUUUUUCUUGUAGGGCAAACUUCAAGCCUCCAAUAAACCUCGCCAUAACGUGUUCUUCA
This 249-nucleotide long non-coding RNA is filed under the name Zostera marina. RNAcentral describes it as "long non-coding RNA (ZMAR_LNC001683)". The record is from RNAcentral. Lineage: Eukaryota; Viridiplantae; Streptophyta; Magnoliopsida; Alismatales; Zosteraceae.